GUUGUAGUUCAGUGGUAGAACUCCUGACUAGCACGUGUGAGGCCUUGGGUUCUAUCCUCAGCAUCACA
This 68-nucleotide transfer RNA is filed under the name Marmota monax (woodchuck). Its description in RNAcentral is "tRNA.Ala". Lineage: Eukaryota; Metazoa; Chordata; Mammalia; Rodentia; Sciuridae. The record is from RNAcentral.